GUUGAAGAGGACGAAACAGAAAGGGGCGACGGGUAUAAUGGCCCUACUUUCAGAUGUUCAAUUCAGAAGGUGUACUCUGUUAUUUCGCAGUUUGACCAGCAGAAACGAGAAAUCGUUAACUCUAUGGGUUGGGGUGGCACUCUAUACAUGCCUCUGGUCAGCAAACUAAGCGUCAGGCAUAUGGUCUGGCUUCUAGGGAUGGUGGAUGAGGUCGGACAAGCCAUUGUACUGGGACCGAAUAAGGUUUUUAAGUUCAAUGAGAGUGAUGUUGAGAAGGUAUUCGGAAUCCCGGCAGCUGGAACAGAUGUGAUGGACAAAACUCUUGAUAGGAGUGACACUGUAUAUGCAUACUUGCGUGGUCGUUUGGGGAUAGAGAACAAGGAGGUAAGAAGUCUGAAGAGCAUACAGUCCAUACUGUCACGUGACUAUAAGGGGAAGAUGUCACCAACAGAGGUGGCUGCAUUCAAAAGUGCGUACAUCGUAUUCAUGAUGACACAUGUAUUUGCACCGACAGUCAAGAAUGACUACUUCUACACUGAUUAUUGGCCAGCACUGGUCGACCCGGAUAGCUUGGAUAAGUUCAAUUGGGGAAGAUAUAUUGUUGAAGUACUGUGCGCAACCGCCGUUAAGAUGAAACAAGAUAUUCGCAGGAAAGCCACGGUGUCGAACAUAACAGGAUGUCUGCUCUUCCUACAGGUCAAGACGUUUCAGAUACCUCAUUACUUCAUCAGCACACAGCUGAUGUUACAGUAUACGCAUCUGAUAAACGAUGGGUUAUUAAUAUUGUUUUUUGUUGUUUUGUUUUUCGGCAUGUAUCUUAGGUUUUCUAUCUAG
This 834-nucleotide ribosomal RNA is filed under the name Triticum aestivum (bread wheat). RNAcentral describes it as "partial small subunit ribosomal RNA". The record is from RNAcentral. Lineage: Eukaryota; Viridiplantae; Streptophyta; Magnoliopsida; Poales; Poaceae.